GAAUAUUGGACAAUGGGCGCAAGCCUGAUCCAGCAAUGCCGCGUGAGUGAUGAAGGCCUUAGGGUUGUAGAGCUCUUUCGCCCGCGACGAUGAUGACGGUAGCGGGAGAAGAAGCCCCGGCUAACUCCGUGCCAGCAGCCGCGGUAAUACGGAGGGGGCUAGCGUUGUUCGGAAUUACUGGGCGUAAAGGGCGCGCAGGCGGCUGCUCAAGUCAGGCGUGAAAGGCCUGGGCUCAACCCGGGAAUUGCGCUUGAGACUGGGCUGGCUUGAGUGCGGGAGAGGAUGGUGGAAUUCCCAGUGUAGAGGUGAAAUUCGUAGAUAUUGGGAAGAACACCGGUGGCGAAGGCGGCCAUCUGGACCGCAACUGACGCUGAGGCGCGAAAGCGUGGGGAGCAAACAGGA
RNAcentral lists this ribosomal RNA (402 nucleotides) under uncultured bacterium. Its description in RNAcentral is "bacterial SSU rRNA". It matches the Rfam family "Bacterial small subunit ribosomal RNA", at positions 359 to 777 of the family's 1533-position model. The record is from RNAcentral.